This 497-nucleotide ribosomal RNA is filed under the name uncultured bacterium. RNAcentral's name for it is "partial 16S ribosomal RNA". It matches the Rfam family "Bacterial small subunit ribosomal RNA", at positions 28 to 507 of the family's 1533-position model. The record is from RNAcentral.
GAUGAACGCUGGCGACGUGCCUAAUACAUGCAAGUCGAGCGAACAGACGAGGAGCUUGCUCCUCUGACGUUAGCGGCGGACGGGUGAGUAACACGUGGAUAACCUACCUAUAAGACUGGGAUAACUUCGGGAAACCGGAGCUAAUACCGGAUAAUAUAUUGAACCGCAUGGUUCAAUAGUGAAAGACGGUUUUGCUGUCACUUAUAGAUGGAUCCGCGCCGCAUUAGCUAGUUGGUAAGGUAACGGCUUACCAAGGCAACGAUGCGUAGCCGACCUGAGAGGGUGAUCGGCCACACUGGAACUGAGACACGGUCCAGACUCCUACGGGAGGCAGCAGUAGGGAAUCUUCCGCAAUGGGCGAAAGCUUGACGGAGCAACGCCGCGUGAGUGAUGAAGGUCUUCGGAUCGUAAAACUCUGUUAUUAGGGAAGAACAAAUGUGUAAGUAACUAUGCACGUCUUGACGGUACCUAAUCAGAAAGCCACGGCUAACUACGUG